This 471-nucleotide ribosomal RNA is filed under the name uncultured bacterium. RNAcentral's name for it is "partial 16S ribosomal RNA". It matches the Rfam family "Bacterial small subunit ribosomal RNA", at positions 355 to 819 of the family's 1533-position model. The record is from RNAcentral.
UGGGGAAUUUUGGACAAUGGGCGAAAGCCUGAUCCAGCAAUGCCGCGUGUGUGAAGAAGGCCUUCGGGUUGUAAAGCACUUUUGUCCGGAAAGAAAUCCUUGGCUCUAAUACAGUCGGGGGAUGACGGUACCGGAAGAAUAAGCACCGGCUAACUACGUGCCAGCAGCCGCGGUAAUACNUAGGGUGCAAGCGUUAAUCGGAAUUACUGGCGUAAAGCGUGCGCAGGCGGUUUGCUAAGACCGAUGUGAAAUCCCCGGGCUCAACCUGGGAACUGCAUUGGUGACUGGCAGGCUAGAGUAUGGCAGAGGGGGGUAGAAUUCCACGUGUAGCAGUGAAAUGCGUAGAGAUGUGGAGGAAUACCGAUGGCGAAGGCAGCCCCCUGGGCCAAUACUGACGCUCAUGCACGAAAGCGUGGGGAGCAAACAGGGUUAGAUACCCUGGUAGUCCACGCCCUAAACGAUGUCAACUAG